AUGCUCCGCCGGCUUCAGCGUGUUGGGGUGCAGGUGUUGGCCGCUCUCUGGCCUGGUGAGGUGAUUCCCCGCACCCCCAGUCGGACUGCCGACUGGCUGGAGGUGGCGGUCGGCCGCUUCGAGACCUGGAAGGCUUCUGCGGCUCGGUCCGGCGCCAGGUGGGCGCUGCAGUUCGUCAAGGCCUGGUAUGCCGAGCUGAGUCUGGACCAGCUGGCCACCUGGCAGCAGGAGGCCGACACGGAGCUGGAGCCGGCGCGGCCGGCUAUCAUUCAGCGGGCUUCGGCGAUUGCCGACUACACUGACACCAGCGCCAUUGCUCCUGAGGUGGACGACAACGGCGUUGCCCAGCCGGAGGAGUGGUUCGGGCUGAACCCGGCAGAUGGCGAGGACUCGGCGGAGGAGAUCGACUCCAGCGACGAGGGCGAGGAGGAGGAGGGUGAAGACGCCGCGCCAGAUGGUGGAGCGGCCGGUCAGCCUCAGCUUGACCGUGCCUCCAGCAACAAGGCACGCGCGGGUGCACUGCCUGCAGCCGGCGAUGAUCAAGCCGAGACCCGCCAGCCGGCCACUCCUCCAGCCGGCGGCACCGUCUCCACCGACCAGCCCGGCUCCCCUGCUGCGCCUUUAGUCUAG
This 630-nucleotide ribosomal RNA is filed under the name Triticum aestivum (bread wheat). Its description in RNAcentral is "partial small subunit ribosomal RNA". The record is from RNAcentral. Lineage: Eukaryota; Viridiplantae; Streptophyta; Magnoliopsida; Poales; Poaceae.